GAUGAACGCUGACGGCGUGCCUAAUACAUGCAAGUCGAGCGAACGGACGAGAAGCUUGCUUCUCUGAUGUUAGCGGCGGACGGGUGAGUAACACGUGGAUAACCUACCUAUAAGACUGGGAUAACUUCGGGAAACCGGAGCUAAUACCGGAUGAUAUUUUGAACCGCAUGGUUCAAAAGUGAAAGACGGUCUUGCUGUCACUUAUAGAUGGAUCCGCGCUGCAUUAGCUAGUUGGUAAGGUAACGGCUUACCAAGGCAACGAUGCAUAGCCGACCUGAGAGGGUGAUCGGCCACACUGGAACUGAGACACGGUCCAGACUCCUACGGGAGGCAGCAGUAGGGAAUCUUCCGCAAUGGGCGAAAGCCUGACGGAGCAACGCCGCGCGAGUGAUGAAGGUCUUCGGAUCGUAAAACUCUGUUAUUAGGGAAGAACAUAUGUGUAAGUAACUGUGCACAUCUUGACGGUACCUAAUCAGAAAGCCACGGCUAACUACGUG
RNAcentral lists this ribosomal RNA (497 nucleotides) under uncultured bacterium. RNAcentral describes it as "partial 16S ribosomal RNA". It matches the Rfam family "Bacterial small subunit ribosomal RNA", at positions 28 to 507 of the family's 1533-position model. The record is from RNAcentral.